RNAcentral lists this ribosomal RNA (400 nucleotides) under uncultured bacterium. RNAcentral describes it as "bacterial SSU rRNA". It matches the Rfam family "Bacterial small subunit ribosomal RNA", at positions 30 to 412 of the family's 1533-position model. The record is from RNAcentral.
AGCGAACGCUGGCGGCGUGCUUAACACAUGCAAGUCGCGCGCGAAAGAGGCUUUCGGGUCUUGAGUAGAGCGGCGCACGGGUGCGUAAGACGCGGGUGACCUAUCCACGAGGUGGGGAUAACCUUUCGAAAGAGGGGCUAAUACCGGAUGAGCCCACAGGGCAGAGAUGCUAGGGGGCAAAGGGUGCGGUUUACUAAGCGCAUCUCUUCGUGGCGGGGCCCACGGCCUAUCAGCUAGUUGGUGUGGUAACGGCACACCAAGGCGAAGACGGUAGCUGGUCUGAGAGGAUGGCCAGCCACACGGGGACUGAGACACGGCCCCGACUCCUACGGGAGGCAGCAGUGGGAAUAUUGGGCAAUGGGCGCAAAGCCUGACCCAGCGACGCCGCGUGGGUGAUGAA